GUGAAUACGUUCCCGGGCCUUGUACACACCGCCCGUCACACCAUGGGAGUGGGUUGCACCAGAAGUAGAUAGCUU
RNAcentral lists this ribosomal RNA (75 nucleotides) under Aeromonas hydrophila. RNAcentral's name for it is "partial 16S ribosomal RNA". The record is from RNAcentral. Lineage: Bacteria; Pseudomonadati; Pseudomonadota; Gammaproteobacteria; Aeromonadales; Aeromonadaceae.